RNAcentral lists this ribosomal RNA (264 nucleotides) under uncultured bacterium. RNAcentral describes it as "partial 16S ribosomal RNA". It matches the Rfam family "Bacterial small subunit ribosomal RNA", at positions 96 to 354 of the family's 1533-position model. The record is from RNAcentral.
UGGCGAACGGGUGAGUAACACGUGGGCAACCUGCCCAAAAGAGGGGGAUAACACUUGGAAACAGGUGCUAAUACCGCAUAACCAUAGUUACCGCAUGGUAACUAUGUAAAAGGUGGCUAUGCUACCGCUUUUGGAUGGGCCCACGACGCAUUAGCUAGUUGGUGGGGUAAAGGCUUACCAAGGCAAUGAUGCGUAGCCGAACUGAGAGGUUGAUCGGCCACAUUGGGACUGAGACACGGCCCAAACUCCUACGGGAGGCAGCAG